This 960-nucleotide long non-coding RNA is filed under the name Homo sapiens (human). RNAcentral's name for it is "long intergenic non-protein coding RNA 1934". The record is from RNAcentral. Lineage: Eukaryota; Metazoa; Chordata; Mammalia; Primates; Hominidae.
AUAUGUCCACAGAAAAAAGACCAUGUGAGGAGAUAGCAAGAAUACCCUAUCUGCAAGCCAUGGAGAGGUCUCAGCAGAAACCAAAACUGCCAACAACUUAAUCUUGGACUUCUAUCCUCUAUAAAUCCUACUCAACGUGAAGAUGAUGAGAAUGAAGACCUUUAUGAUGAUCUGCUUCCACUUAAAGAAUAGUAUUUGGCUGACUCCUGGACUAUGCAAGCACAAGAAGAGAUUUCAGAAGGUUUGGAAGAGAGUCUCUUCUGAGAGGCUGAGGGCUAAGAAGACUGCCCUGUGCAGGAAAGAUGUUGGAGUGCAAGCCCAUCUGGAAUGGAGAGACCUCGAUGAAACACAUAGGCAAUUAAUUAGAUCCCAGAAAGGCCACACUGUGCAAGCCCAUCAUGAUCUGAAGGCAGCGGUGGUUGCUGGUGGAGGAUGUGAGCUUUGGAACUGGAGCUCUUUGAUUCAAAGCUCUGCCGCUUACUCACUGGAUAAGACCAUGAUCAAGUUAUUUCAUCUGAAAAAUUGAGUUGACUGCAGGUAACUGAAACUGCGGAAAGUGAAACUGCAGAUAAGAGGGACCACUGUAAAUAAGUGACAUGAAUGAUACUGCAAAGGACCAUAGCCUAACCAGCCAAGCAAACUGGAAGUACCUUUAGACUCACGCUUUGCCAAGCUCAGUUCCAGAAUCACAUGAUGAAAAGAAUGAUGGAAAGAAAAUGUUUGUGAUAUUAAAAUUAAGGAAAUUACUCCAACUCAGAGCUUUGAAUCUUGACAGAGUGUUGCAAAGACAGAAGAAAUGGUAAAGUUUCAUUUCCUUAUUUUUGGCAACUGGAAGACAAAUUGCCUACUUGUUCCAAACCUGGUUCACUAGCUAUCCCUCAAUUCCCAUAAGCUUCCCUAUUAUUCUUCCAUAAAGUUCCUUUUUUGCUGUCAUUACUGAAGCAAUACAGAAUCACAAAA